This 503-nucleotide ribosomal RNA is filed under the name uncultured bacterium. Its description in RNAcentral is "partial 16S ribosomal RNA". It matches the Rfam family "Bacterial small subunit ribosomal RNA", at positions 28 to 523 of the family's 1533-position model. The record is from RNAcentral.
GAUGAACGCUAGCGAUAGGCCUAACACAUGCAAGUCGAGGGGCAUCACGGAGUAGCAAUACUUUGGUGGCGACCGGCGCACGGGUGAGUAACGCGUAUGCAAUCUACCUACAACAGGGGGAUAAUCCGGAGAAAUCCGGACUAAUACCGCAUAACACAGGGGUCCCGCAUGGGAAUAUUUGUUAAAGAUUUAUCGGUUGUAGAUGAGCAUGCGUUCCAUUAGGUAGUUGGUGAGGUAACGGCCCACCAAGCCUGCGAUGGAUAGGGGAACUGAAAGGUUAGUCCCCCAAACAGGAACGAGGACACGGACCAGACUCCUACGGGAGGCAGCAUGGAGGAAUAUUGGUCAAUGUGCGAGAGCCUGAACCAGCCAAAUCGCGUGAAGGAAGACUGCCUUAUGGGUUGUAAACUUCUUUUGUACAGGAAUAAAAAGAGGGACGUGUCCUUCAUUGCAUGUACUGUACGAAUAAGCAUCGGCUAACUCCGUGCCAGCCGCCGCCGUAA